Molecule: transfer RNA, 69 nt
Filed under: Loxodonta africana (African savanna elephant)
Lineage: Eukaryota; Metazoa; Chordata; Mammalia; Proboscidea; Elephantidae
Rfam family: tRNA
About the family: Transfer RNA (tRNA) molecules are approximately 80 nucleotides in length.
Source: Rfam by way of RNAcentral
GCGGGGUGAUUCAGUGGUAGAAUUCUUCCUUGCAUACAGGAGACCCAGGUUCGAUUCCUGGCCCCUGCA